UGCCAGCCGCCGCGGUAACACGGAGGGAGCGAGCGUUAAUCGGAAUUACUGGGCGUAAAACGCGCGUAGGCGGCUUUGUAAGUCGGAUGUGAAAGCCCGGGGCUCAACCCCGGAAGUGCAUUGGAAACUGGCGAACUUGAGUACGGGAGAGGAAAGUGGAAUUCCGAGUGUAGGGGUGAAAUCCGUAGAUAUUCGGAGGAACACCAGUGGCGAAGGCGGCUUUCUGGACCGAUACUGACGCUGAGACGCGAAAGCGUGGGGAGCAAACAGGAUUAGAUA
This 279-nucleotide ribosomal RNA is filed under the name uncultured bacterium. RNAcentral describes it as "partial 16S ribosomal RNA". It matches the Rfam family "Bacterial small subunit ribosomal RNA", at positions 506 to 784 of the family's 1533-position model. The record is from RNAcentral.